Molecule: unclassified non-coding RNA, 326 nt
Filed under: soil metagenome
Description: partial contains 5.8S ribosomal RNA, internal transcribed spacer 2, and large subunit ribosomal RNA
Rfam family: 5.8S ribosomal RNA (bases 5-119)
Source: RNAcentral
GAUGAGAACGUAGCGAAAUGCGAUAAGUAAUGUGAAUUGCAGAAUUCAGUGAAUCAUCGAAUCUUUGAACGCACAUUGCGCCCCUUGGUAUUCCGAGGGGCAUGCCUGUUCGAGCGUCAUUAUAACCCCUCAAGCUCGGCUUGGUGUUGGGGCCUGCCGCACGGGCAGCCCUUAAAAUCAGUGGCGGUGCCAUCUGGCUCUAAGCGUAGUAAUUCUUCUCGCUAUAGAGUCCCGGUGGAUGCUUGCCAUUAACCCCCAAUUUCAAUGGUUGACCUCGGAUCAGGUAGGGAUACCCGCUGAACUUAAGCAUAUCAAUAAGCGGAGGA